RNAcentral lists this ribosomal RNA (264 nucleotides) under Triticum aestivum (bread wheat). RNAcentral describes it as "partial small subunit ribosomal RNA". The record is from RNAcentral. Lineage: Eukaryota; Viridiplantae; Streptophyta; Magnoliopsida; Poales; Poaceae.
GGCGAUUUUAACGAGAUUCUGUAUUCUCAUGAGAAGGAAGGUGGAGCGCCGCGACCAAAAAAUAUGAUGCAGAGGUUCAGGGACGCUUUGGUUGACAGUGGACUUGAGGAUAUGGGCUUCACCGGAGACGACUUCACUUGGAGGAGACGAAGAAUACGGGAGAGGCUGGAUAGAGCUGUAUGCAAUGGACAGUUCCUAGGUCUCUUCCCUAAUGCAAAGAUCACCAACACAGGGCAUACUAAAUCAGAUCAUAGACCGGUCCUU